This 252-nucleotide ribosomal RNA is filed under the name uncultured bacterium. Its description in RNAcentral is "partial 16S ribosomal RNA". It matches the Rfam family "Bacterial small subunit ribosomal RNA", at positions 524 to 776 of the family's 1533-position model. The record is from RNAcentral.
CACGGAGGAUGCGAGCGUUAUCCGGAUUUAUUGGGUUUAAAGGGUGCGUAGGCGGGAUGCCAAGUCAGCGGUAAAAAUGCGGUGCUCAACGCCGUCGAGCCGUUGAAACUGGCGUUCUUGAGUGGGCGAGAAGUAUGCGGAAUGCGUGGUGUAGCGGUGAAAUGCAUAGAUAUCACGCAGAACUCCGAUUGCGAAGGCAGCAUACCGGCGCCCUACUGACGCUGAGGCACGAAAGCGUGGGUAUCGAACAGG